Molecule: ribosomal RNA, 119 nt
Organism: Homo sapiens (human)
Lineage: Eukaryota; Metazoa; Chordata; Mammalia; Primates; Hominidae
Source: Ensembl
GUCUACGGCCAUACCACCCUGAACGCGCCCGAUCUCGUCUGAUCUCGGAAGCUAAGCAGGGUCGGGCCUGGUUAGUACUUGGACGGGAGACCGCCUGGGAAUACCGGGUGCUGUAGGCU